Molecule: small nuclear RNA, 283 nt
Filed under: Myotis davidii
Lineage: Eukaryota; Metazoa; Chordata; Mammalia; Chiroptera; Vespertilionidae
Description: 7SK RNA
Rfam family: 7SK RNA
About the family: 7SK was discovered as an abundant small nuclear RNA in the mid-70s but a possible function has only recently been suggested. Two independent studies have found that 7SK RNA binds the CDK9/cyclin T complex (known as elongation factor P-TEFb).
Source: Rfam by way of RNAcentral
GGAAACGAGCCAUCUGGCAUAGACAUCUGCCAUAACAUUGACCUUCAGGGUAUCUUGGCUGCUCUGCCUGGCCCGGCAGGUGCCUACAUCUUUCUUCAUAACUCUUGGUUGUUCUUCCAUAUUGGCCACCUUUUCUCAUAUAGAAGAGAGUGUUUUUAAUUAAGGUUAUAGGAACAUGAAUGUAACUUUUUAGAACCUCUAAAAUCAGAUUUAAAAGACCAUAAAAAGUACAAUUACUUUCACUUAUUUCCAGAAAAUUCACUAUAGAUAGUAAUUUUUCACU